Sesamum indicum (sesame) is the source of this 1940-nucleotide long non-coding RNA. RefSeq annotates it as protein DEEPER ROOTING 1. The record is from RefSeq and is a predicted model, not a curated record. Lineage: Eukaryota; Viridiplantae; Streptophyta; Magnoliopsida; Lamiales; Pedaliaceae.
CGUAGAUCCCUCUACAUAGCUUAAUCCUCACUAUUUCACAUUUUCACACUUAACGAAAAACUCAAAUUCCUUGAUCUUGAAUUCAUGUCAAUUUAACUACAUACCUUCGUGCUCUUUGCUUGAUUUGUUUUAUCAUUUUCAUUAUGUAAGCCCGAAUUAGUUCUAAAUCAAUACUUCCCUCAAUGUCUUAUAACUCUCCUUUCUUUGAUAAUUGAAGGAUAGGUCGAGAUGAACCCGUUAUGGUUAUCCCAACUAAGGGAACAUAACCGUAAUAAAAUGUUCUUUUCCUCAAAACUUGUUGAGACAUUGUCUAACUUAGUCAGCAUAGCCCCAUAAACACUCCAGUACGUCAAGCACAACCUUUACUAAAUCAAUCAUCAUGGGCCCGCCAUCAUCAUGACGAGUUUUACGUAUUCAAUGAGAUUCAAACUUGUGAUAUUCAAGUGAAAAAUUGAACAUUUCACCGCCAAUCACUGUAUUGGUGGUUAAGUGCAUUUCCCUGUACUAUAAAAUGGCCAGCUAAUUAUACAGUCUUCCAGUAUUGGUUCCUGCGAUUCUUUUCGAUGUCUGUACUGGAGAAGAACUAUACCAAGUCAUGAAGUUGUAACUGAUGCCAGAAGUUAUAAGAAGAUAAAAGACAAAACAGAUAACAAGGGACUGAGAGACGAGAGAGAUUGAAAAGAGGAAACAUGGUUUUGGAACUUGAACCUAUGCAGACCAGCUUGUCUAGCUACUCAAAAUUUCUAACAGCCCCACCAAUCAGCUUCAUCUAUUUAUAACUCAGACCACCUCAAUUCCUCAGUGGUCGUGGGAUUUGAGUUUGACACAAUUCUUUCUUCACAACCCACUUGAAUCACACACCUGUCAGUCUGUCUACAAUCCCAGAAUUUCUGAUUCUAGGAGGGCUUUCAGUUGAGUUGGUCUCUGCAAAUUAUUAAGAUGUUUGGUUGGAUCAAAAGCAAACUUCACGGGAAGGAUAACACCAUCAAGCCUGAGCCAGAACAGAUGUCUUAUCAUAUGAUGCAGCAAUUUCCCUGCAAAGAAGAAAUCUCUGGUUGCCCGAGUUCGUUACUAGCCAUUGGUACGUUUGGAAACAAUCUGAAAGGUUCAGAGAAGACCAACGUCGAAGAAAGCUUACCCUCUAGUGAAGAUCAUCAGGAAAACACUAUGGUACAAGAAUUUGGAGAAGUUGAAAAAGAGUUGAGAUUACUGAUUUCUAGGGAAUCAGAAAACUAUAAUCUCCCAACAGAGAGAUUACUGGACAGUUGGCAAGACGAAGAAAUCAUUGUCGAGUCGAUGAACAAUGAUGCAUCAGAAGACAAAGAUGCUCUUCUCCAGAGGACAACCAGUGGAAUCCACUGGAAAGAGAAAGAAAUCCCCAAGAAUAACAAGAAAAACAUGUACAGAAAGUCCCUGUCUUUUCUUCUUAAAAAGGCAGUUUUCUGCAGAGGUGGUUUCGUGCCUAGCCCCACCAUAAGUUCCAUCUUGAAAGAUCCAUUCCCAGAUCCUAAAUUCGAUAACUCAACAAAGGAGAAGAUGUUGAGGGCUGUGCUUAACAAGAAGAAAUAUCCCAAAACACAGCAAUGUUUGAACAUGGCUGAGACUCACCGGACCAAAGAGCAAGAGAAGGCCAGAAAUGAAAAUAAAUGGGACAGAACAGACUCAGAAUAUAUCGUCCUGGAGCUUUGAUUCGUGGAGCGCAGCUGUAUUUCAAGGAAACAUGACUCAAAUGACCUUGAGUAGGUCAAUGUUUAUCUUCUGUUGUCGAUCAAGCAUAAAAUGUAUUACGACAGAGGCCAACGGAGCUAUACAAAGAAUUUAGAUCAGACAGAAUUGAAUUUGUAUUCUAGCAAUGCUUGUCACUGGGAGUGUGCAUAUUUUUGCCAUGGCUUGUUGUGCUAACAGCAUAAUAUAAUCUCAUUUUGCCAUGGUUCGUAUAA